UACCUGCAGCUCAAGUGGUGACCGCUAUUAUUGGGCCUAAAACGUUCGUAGCCGGUUUAGUAAAUGCCUGGGUAAAUCGUGUAGCUUAACUAUACGAAUUCCGGGUAGACUGCUGGACUUGAGAUCGGGAGAGGCUAGAGGUACUCCUGGGGUAGAGGUGAAAUUUUGUAAUCCUAGGGGGACCACCAGUGGCGAAGGCGUCUAGCCAGAACGAGUCUGACGGUGAGGGACGAAGCCCUGGGGCGCAAACCGGAUUAGAUACCCGGGUAGUCCAGGGUGUAAACGCUGCUCGCUUGAUGUUGGUUGGGCUCCGAGCCCAACUAGUGUCGGAGAGAAGUUGUUAAGCGAGCUGCCUGGGAAGUACGGUCGCAAGACUGAAACUUAAAGGAAUUGGCGGGGGAGCGACAGCAACGGGUGGAGCGUGCGGUUU
RNAcentral lists this ribosomal RNA (430 nucleotides) under uncultured archaeon. RNAcentral's name for it is "bacterial SSU rRNA". It matches the Rfam family "Archaeal small subunit ribosomal RNA", at positions 474 to 903 of the family's 1478-position model. The record is from RNAcentral.